Long non-coding RNA from Camellia sinensis, 3344 nucleotides. RefSeq lists it as uncharacterized. Lineage: Eukaryota; Viridiplantae; Streptophyta; Magnoliopsida; Ericales; Theaceae. The record is from RefSeq and is a predicted model, not a curated record.
CCUCACCAAGACCUCAAUCUAAUUUCCUUUUUAUUUUCUCUUUUUAACUUAAAUUUUUUCUCGGAAAAUUUCAAUGUGUUUCCAAUCAAGAACAAGCAUCUGUCGCUAUGAUUUCCUCUGUUAAGCUAAUAGCACGGGAAACACGAAAGAGAUGCAAAAUCAAAUUCAAAAACACAGGGUACCUCUGGACAUGCAGAUUCCAAGUUUCCUGUGGAUUCUUGCUUUUUCUCGUAGCCUCCCCGCAUAUGAAUGUCCCUUAAGGUGCUCCACAGGUGGAUAGUUAUGUAAUCCGCAUACUACGGUCAAUGUCCAUUCAUCAUUUGUGGUAAACCUGUGAGCCCUCUUAUCAAAAGGACAACCACAUUUCUUCAUAUCAGUUAUUCUUGAUGUAUUGUUGUCAUCAUGUUUUAACUUCUUUGUCGCUCUAUAUUAGCCACUCCUCUCACAAGCAAAAUGCAUCCUGGAUCUUUUUUUCAUUCCACCAUAGUCUGAUGUUUUGAUUACAAUGACCAAACCAUUUCUCUUUCUAACUUCACGUACCCAGUUGAGCAUUUCAUCCUUACUUUUGAAUACCUACAAAGUCAAAUAAAUAUUAUAAAACAUUUACAUUUGUUGAGCAAUUCAAAACACAAUCAUUUUAAUUUCGUGAAGUGAACCUGCUUAGUUGUAAAUUGAAUAGUGUAAUCCAACACACUAUCCGCACAAACUUGACUUCCUUAAGUUGAGACAUAUUCCUACAUGUUUUUGUAUAACAUUAUAAAUUUGAAAUGGUACUAUAAAGACAAUUUUGCAAUUUGAAAUUGCAAAUUUAGUAUGCAAUUUACGAAUUUGGAAUAUAAAAUGGAAAAAAAAAAUUAUUUCAUUCAGAAGUACAAUAUCGAAAAAAAUGAUAAUGUUCGAAUGUAGUUUUCCAAAUUAUUUUUACCAGUUUAGAAGUUGAAUGUCGAAAAAUUUAAAUUAUUUCAGACGACAAUUUCUGAAAUUACAUAAUUAUUUCGGUAGUAGACUACUGAAUAAAUUGAUAUAUUUCAAUCCUGGUUAUCCAAAAGAUGCCGGGGGGAAAAAAAAAAUCGACUUUCACAUAACAAAACUCACUUUUCCUUAGCCAUCUUUCUCAUAAACAUUUAUCUGCUUCUGAAAAUCUAAAUUUUUUGAAGGGAAAUCUUCCAUAACAAUGAUGAAUAAUGAUGAUGUUUAAUGUGUAAACUAAUUAAAAGCUAAGAAUAAAAAAUAAGGGGGUUUAGUGUGUGUAAACUAAUGAAUGAAAGCUAACAAUGAAGGAUUUGAAAGGAUGAGGAUGGAAUGUGGAGGUUUAGCAAACUGAGUAUGGAAGUCAGUCUCAGUAGCUUCAACGUGGAAAUGGAUGUGGAUGUGCAUUGAGAAUGUGUGUUUAUUUGAAUUUUGUGUGAUGUCCAUAAUAGUAAUUUCACUUAAGAUAAAAUUAUAAUAAAAAUAAAUAUCAUUAAGUUUGUACAAAAAGUGGAAAGGGUAUGAACAAAUAGAAGCUCCCCCAACUCUGCUAGCAAUAUUAAUAAAAGGUCUAUAUUACCCUAAUUUUUUUUCUCAAAUUUUCUUUUGUGUCACAACUUCAAAACCAGUGUUGCCAUUUUCCUUCUUUUUUUCCUUUAUGCUUUCUUCACAUGCUUUCUUCACCUGUAACCUCAUGGCCAUCACUUAUUUUUAGCUAAAUGAUUCAAUCCAAAAAGGAUUUUUCCGAAGUAAACACCCAUUGCGUCCAUGUUUGUUAUUUUUUCUUCUUGAAAUAGAACUUCAUCAAAAGCAACAUUAGGAGAAAGUCCCGUCCAUCAUCCGAUACUUGAACAAAAUUCAAGCCAGGUUGCAUAUCAUAAUCAAAAAGUUUUUCAAAUUAAAACCACAGCCACACGCAUAUACUCUUAAAUAUAUAUAUAUAUAUAUAUAUAAUUGAAGCCACCAACAAUUUAUGUUCUUUUCCUUCUUUUUUCUUCCCCGUCAGGAAGACCACACACACCGAUGGUUGACUGUUGCUAACUUGCUAUACAGUAAUGAAGGGAAAUUUUCAAGAAGGUUUUGGUGCCAUCCUUGCUUUCCUUUAUUACACACGACACAUGAUAUCAUUUUGUCCACCACACCCAUCAAUCAGUGUCAGAAGAAUCACUUGAGCUGGUUGUAUUGCAUUUUCAACCCUGCUAAAUACCCCCAGCGGGGGGUUCGCACCCUAGUGAGGUGGCGCGCCCCCACUGGCUGACAACUAAAAAAAAAAAUAGUUUUUUUUCACCCAAUCACGGGCCUCCACCUCACUGGGGGUCGACCCCCAGUGGGGGUAUAAAGCAUUUUUGAUUGCAUUUUAGUUUAAGAUUAACCUUGUCGUUUGGAUGGUGAGGGUAGACAUAUCUUGAUCUCUUAGAUAUAGUUUAAUCAAUAAUCUAAGGUCAUGUUUGAUUCACAAGAUUAAUAGUGAAGUAUUAAUAAUCCUAUUAAAUUAGUGUGGUAUUCAUUAUCCAAUUGGAUUAAUAUCCAUUAGAUUAAUAAUCUCACCCCUACCACAUUACUAAUAAUCCUACAAAUUUGUUGGAAUAAUUAUCUAUUGAAUUAAUAAUCCAAAACCAAAAUGUUAAAACAAACAUAGGAUAAUUGAGUCCACGGAUUAAUAAUCUCAAUUUCAUGCUCUAAUCCACCCAAUCAAACAUGCCAUAAGGGUGUUUAUCUUUUUGGUAAAAGAAAGAAUUUUGUUCUCGUUUGGUUUCCUUAUCAAAAACCAUUUUUGAGAUUUUUCUUUUAUGUAUUUUUUUGUGUUUAGCAAACUGUUUUCAUAUUUUAGUCAAAAUAUUUUUCAUUUUUUGAUGUACAUAAAAAGUAAGGUAUUUAUGAAGAAAAUAUGAAAAAAAAUUACUAAAGAUAAAAAUAAAUAAAUAAAUAAAUAAACACAUUAGAAAGUUAAAAAAAAAAAAUUAAAACAUGAAAAUAGUACAUUAAAGAUAAGAACAAGAAAAAUCUAAAUAAAACUUAUAAAUCGUUUUAAAACAUUAAACCAAACAUAAUUGUUUGGAUAAUGUUGGAGAAAAAGGAAAUAAUGUACCAAUUUUGUUUAGGAAUGGCAACGGGGCGGGGCCGGGGACCACCCUCCCCGUCCCCGAUCCCCGAUGGCCAAAAUUUCCCCGUCUCCGGCCCCGAUCCCCGACGGGGAACCUGUCACAGUCCCCAUCCCCGUCCCCAACGGGGAUCGGGUUUCCCCGACCCCGAAAAGUCCCCGAUCCAACUCUGUUUUCAACAUUCAACACCAUCAACAGAUAAAAAAAAAAAAAAAAGAAUAACAGAUCAUCAAAAAAAACAGAUCUGUUUUUCAACAUUCAACAUCAUCAACA